Molecule: ribosomal RNA, 1291 nt
Filed under: uncultured bacterium
Lineage: Bacteria
Description: bacterial SSU rRNA
Rfam family: Bacterial small subunit ribosomal RNA
Source: RNAcentral
GAUGAACGCUGGCGGCGUGGAUAAGGCAUGCAAGUCGAACGCUCCAAUUUAUUGGAGAGUGGCAGACGGGUUAGUAACACGUGGAUUACCAACCCCAUUCACGGGGAUAAUCAGUCGAAAGGCUGGCUAAUACCCGAUAGUCUCCGCUUUUUGCGGAGUAAAGCUCAGGCGGAAUGGGAUGGGUCCGCGGCCUAUCAGCUAGUUGGUAAGGUAAUAGCUUACCAAGGCUAUGACGGGUAGGCGGGGUGAGAGCCUGACCGCCAACAAGGGCACUGCGACACGGGCCCUACUCCUACGGGAGGCUGCAGUCGAGAAUAUUGGACAAUGGGGGAAACCCUGAUCCUGCGACGCCGCGUGCUUGAAGAAGCCCUUCGGGGUGUAAAAAGCUUUUAUAGAGGAAGAACCUAACUCUCUAUGCCCAUGACUUUUUGUGGUGGGUUUUGAGAGUUGGGUGACGGUACUCUAUGAAUAAGGGGGUGCUAAUUCUGUGCCAGCAGCAGCGGUAAUACAGAAUCCCCAAGCGUUAUCCGGAUUUAUUGGGCGUAAAGGGUCCGUAGGCGUCUGGUUUUAUCUUUUGUUAAAUUUUCGAGGCUUAACCUUGAAGCUGCGAAAGAAAUAAGCCAGAUAGAGGACGUUAGAGGCUAAUGGAACGGUCAGUGUAGGGGUGAAAUCCGUUGAUAUUGACCGGAACACCGAAAGCGAAGGCAAUUAGCUGGACGAUCCUGACGCUGAGGGACGAAAGCGUGGGGAGAGAACGGGAUUAGAUACCCCGGUAUUCCACGCUGUAAACUAUGGAUACUGGCUAUUUGAAGUGUCGACCCUUCAAGUGGCGAAGCUAACGCGUUAAGUAUCCCGCCUGGGAAUUACGGCCGCAAGGCUAAAACUCAAAGGAAUAGACGGGGGCUCACACAAGCGGUGGAUCAUGUGGCUUAAUUCGAUAAUAAGCGAGGAACCUUACCAGGACUUGACACCCAGACGAAAUCCUAAUGAAAGUUGGGACUUCCGCAAGGACGGCUGGGCAGGUGUUGCAUGGUUGUCGUCAGCAUGUGCCGUGAGGUGCACGCUUAAAUGCGGUAACAUGCGCAACCCUCGCCCUAUGUUUUAUAUGUCAUAGGGGACUGCCCGAGACAAUCGGGAGGAAGGUGAGGACGACGCCAAAUCAGCAUGGCCCUUUGAUGUUCUGGGCUGCACUCAUGAUACAAUGGUUGGGACAAUGGGUUGCCAAUUCGUAAGAAGGAGCUAAUCCCACCAAACCCAAUCUCAGUUCGGAUUGAGGUCUGCAACUCGACCU